Molecule: ribosomal RNA, 1797 nt
Filed under: Escherichia coli
Lineage: Bacteria; Pseudomonadati; Pseudomonadota; Gammaproteobacteria; Enterobacterales; Enterobacteriaceae
Description: partial 23S ribosomal RNA
Rfam family: Bacterial large subunit ribosomal RNA
Source: RNAcentral
CUGGGCGUUAAGUUGCAGGGUAUAGACCCGAAACCCGGUGAUCUAGCCAUGGGCAGGUUGAAGGUUGGGUAACACUAACUGGAGGACCGAACCGACUAAUGUUGAAAAAUUAGCGGAUGACUUGUGGCUGGGGGUGAAAGGCCAAUCAAACCGGGAGAUAGCUGGUUCUCCCCGAAAGCUAUUUAGGUAGCGCCUCGUGAAUUCAUCUCCGGGGGUAGAGCACUGUUUCGGCAAGGGGGUCAUCCCGACUUACCAACCCGAUGCAAACUGCGAAUACCGGAGAAUGUUAUCACGGGAGACACACGGCGGGUGCUAACGUCCGUCGUGAAGAGGGAAACAACCCAGACCGCCAGCUAAGGUCCCAAAGUCAUGGUUAAGUGGGAAACGAUGUGGGAAGGCCCAGACAGCCAGGAUGUUGGCUUAGAAGCAGCCAUCAUUUAAAGAAAGCGUAAUAGCUCACUGGUCGAGUCGGCCUGCGCGGAAGAUGUAACGGGGCUAAACCAUGCACCGAAGCUGCGGCAGCGACGCUGAUGCGUUGUUGGGUAGGGGAGCGUUCUGUAAGCCUGUGAAGGUGUGCUGUGAGGCAUGCUGGAGGUAUCAGAAGUGCGAAUGCUGACAUAAGUAACGAUAAAGCGGGUGAAAAGCCCGCUCGCCGGAAGACCAAGGGUUCCUGUCCAACGUUAAUCGGGGCAGGGUGAGUCGACCCCUAAGGCGAGGCCGAAAGGCGUAGUCGAUGGGAAACAGGUUAAUAUUCCUGUACUUGGUGUUACUGCGAAGGGGGGACGGAGAAGGCUAUGUUGGCCGGGCGACGGUUGUCCCGGUUUAAGCGUGUAGGCUGGUUUUCCAGGCAAAUCCGGAAAAUCAAGGCUGAGGCGUGAUGACGAGGCACUACGGUGCUGAAGCAACAAAUGCCCUGCUUCCAGGAAAAGCCUCUAAGCAUCAGGUAACAUCAAAUCGUACCCCAAACCGACACAGGUGGUCAGGUAGAGAAUACCAAGGCGCUUGAGAGAACUCGGGUGAAGGAACUAGGCAAAAUGGUGCCGUAACUUCGGGAGAAGGCACGCUGAUAUGUAGGUGAAGCGACUUGCUCGUGGAGCUGAAAUCAGUCGAAGAUACCAGCUGGCUGCAACUGUUUAUUAAAAACACAGCACUGUGCAAACACGAAAGUGGACGUAUACGGUGUGACGCCUGCCCGGUGCCGGAAGGUUAAUUGAUGGGGUCAGCGCAAGCGAAGCUCUUGAUCGAAGCCCCGGUAAACGGCGGCCGUAACUAUAACGGUCCUAAGGUAGCGAAAUUCCUUGUCGGGUAAGUUCCGACCUGCACGAAUGGCGUAAUGAUGGCCAGGCUGUCUCCACCCGAGACUCAGUGAAAUUGAACUCGCUGUGAAGAUGCAGUGUACCCGCGGCAAGACGGAAAGACCCCGUGAACCUUUACUAUAGCUUGACACUGAACAUUGAGCCUUGAUGUGUAGGAUAGGUGGGAGGCUUUGAAGUGUGGACGCCAGUCUGCAUGGAGCCGGCCUUGAAAUACCACCCUUUAAUGUUUGAUGUUCUAACGUUGACCCGUGAUCCGGGUUGCGGACAGUGUCUGGUGGGUAGUUUGACUGGGGCGGUCUCCUCCUAAAGAGUAACGGAGGAGCACGAAGGUUGGCUAAUCCUGGUCGGACAUCAGGAGGUUAGUGCAAUGGCAUAAGCCAGCUUGACUGCGAGCGUGACGGCGCGAGCAGGUGCGAAAGCAGGUCAUAGUGAUCCGGUGGUUCUGAAUGGAAGGGCCAUCGCUCAACGGAUAAAAGGUACU